RNAcentral lists this transfer RNA (72 nucleotides) under Aedes aegypti (yellow fever mosquito). It matches the Rfam family "tRNA". Rfam says of the family: Transfer RNA (tRNA) molecules are approximately 80 nucleotides in length. Their secondary structure includes four short double-helical elements and three loops (D, anti-codon, and T loops). The record is from Rfam by way of RNAcentral. Lineage: Eukaryota; Metazoa; Arthropoda; Insecta; Diptera; Culicidae.
GUAGCUGUAGUAUAAUUUGUAAUGCGACCGUGUACAAAAUGGAAAUUAUGGGUUCAAGUCCCGCCGGCUACA